RNAcentral lists this ribosomal RNA (460 nucleotides) under uncultured bacterium. Its description in RNAcentral is "partial 16S ribosomal RNA". It matches the Rfam family "Bacterial small subunit ribosomal RNA", at positions 338 to 795 of the family's 1533-position model. The record is from RNAcentral.
CCUACGGGUGGCUGCAGUGAGGAAUAUUGGUCAAUGGCCGGAAGGCUGAACCAGCCAAGCCGCGUGAAGGACGAAGGUGCCAAGCAUUGUAAACUUCUUUUGUCAAGGGACAAAAUCAGGCUCGAGAGCCUGACCGAGGGUACUUGAAGAAAAAGCAUCGGCUAACUCCGUGCCAGCAGCCGCGGUAAUACGGAGGAUGCGAGCGUUAUCCGGAUUUAUUGGGUGUAAAGGGGGCGCAGACGGCGAUGCAAGCCAGGAGUGAAAGCCCGGGGCCCAACCCCGGGACGGCUCUUGGAACUGCGUGGCUAGAGUGCAGGAGGGGCAGGCGGAAUUCCUGGUGUAGCGGUGAAAUGCGUAGAUAUCAGGAGGAACACCGGUGGCGAAGGCGGCCUGCUGGACUGCAACUGACGUUGAGGCCCGAAAGCGUGGGGAGCAAACAGGAUUAGAUACCCUUGUAGUC